Molecule: ribosomal RNA, 439 nt
Filed under: uncultured bacterium
Lineage: Bacteria
Description: partial 16S ribosomal RNA
Rfam family: Bacterial small subunit ribosomal RNA
Source: RNAcentral
CCUACGGGUGGCAGCAGUGGGGGAUAUUGCACAAUGGGCGAAAGCCUGAUGCAGCGACGCCGCGUGAGGGAAGACGGUCUUCGGAUUUUAAACCUCUGUCUUUGGGGGAGAAAAUGACGGUACCCAAAGAGGAAGCUCCGGCUAACUACGUUCCGGCAGCCGCGGUAAUACGUGGGGAGCCAGGGUUGUCCGGAUUUACUGGGUGAAAGGGGGGCGUAGGCGGGAUUGCAAGCAGAAUGGUAAAUCCAUCGGCUCAACCGGUGGCUGCGUUCUAAACUGGCGUUCUUGAGUGAAGUAGAGGCAGGCGGAAUUCCUAGUGUAGCGGUGAAAUGCGUAGAUAUUAGGAGGAACACCAGUGGCGAAGGCGGCCUGCUGGGCUUUAACUGACGCUGAGGCUCGAAAGCGUGGGGAGCAAACAGGAUUAGAUACCCUAGUAGUC